AGGUUAUGAUGUGGGUAUUUUCUUAAUAAUUCUUUAAAUCUCUGCCAUGCCUCAAAUAAUGAUUUAGUGUUCAACUGUGCAUAAGUUGUAAUCUUUUGAUGUAGCUU
This is a small nucleolar RNA of Dioscorea cayenensis subsp. rotundata (Guinea yam), 107 nucleotides long. The record is from RefSeq and is a predicted model, not a curated record. Lineage: Eukaryota; Viridiplantae; Streptophyta; Magnoliopsida; Dioscoreales; Dioscoreaceae.